Molecule: unclassified non-coding RNA, 243 nt
Filed under: Hevea brasiliensis (rubber tree)
Lineage: Eukaryota; Viridiplantae; Streptophyta; Magnoliopsida; Malpighiales; Euphorbiaceae
Source: RNAcentral
UUUCCUUGCUUACAUUAAUGUCUUAUCAACUUAGAAAACUUUUUCCUAGAUGAAAAUAAAAUAGCCAUAUAAAUUGAUUGCAGUGGAUGAAAGGGUUUGAGCUCAUAAAUUCUAACAGAAAUAAAUUGAUCAUAGUUCAUUUUCAAGCUAUUAGUUUAGACAACACAAAUACACAGUGAGCAUUUGAAACAACAUGCCAGAAAAUCUAGUCUGAUUUUUACCUCAAGGAAAUCAUGGUUGGAG